Molecule: transfer RNA, 86 nt
Filed under: Parastagonospora nodorum SN15
Lineage: Eukaryota; Fungi; Ascomycota; Dothideomycetes; Pleosporales; Phaeosphaeriaceae
Description: Phaeosphaeria nodorum SN15 tRNA-Arg for anticodon UCG
Rfam family: tRNA
About the family: Transfer RNA (tRNA) molecules are approximately 80 nucleotides in length. Their secondary structure includes four short double-helical elements and three loops (D, anti-codon, and T loops).
Source: Rfam by way of RNAcentral
GGAGCCUUGGCGCAAUGGUAGCGCGUUGGUUUUCGGUUUGAAAACAUAAACACCAAAGGUUGUGGGUUCGAUCCCCAUGGGCUUCG